Molecule: ribosomal RNA, 495 nt
Filed under: uncultured bacterium
Lineage: Bacteria
Description: partial 16S ribosomal RNA
Rfam family: Bacterial small subunit ribosomal RNA
Source: RNAcentral
GACGAACGCUGGCGGCGUGCCUAAUACAUGCAAGUAGAACGCUGAAGGAGGAGCUUGCUUCUCUGGAUGAGUUGCGAACGGGUGAGUAACGCGUAGGUAACCUGCCUGGUAGCGGGGGAUAACUAUUGGAAACGAUAGCUAAUACCGCAUAAUAGUAGAUGUUGCAUGACAUUUGCUUAAAAGGUGCAAUUGCAUCACUACCAGAUGGACCUGCGUUGUAUUAGCUAGUUGGUGAGGUAACGGCUCACCAAGGCGACGAUACAUAGCCGACCUGAGAGGGUGAGCGGCCACACUGGGACUGAGACACGGCCCAGACUCCUACGGGAGGCAGCAGUAGGGAAUCUUCGGCAAUGGACGGAAGUCUGACCGAGCAACGCCGCGGGAGGGAAGAAGGUUUUCGGGUCGUAAAGCUCUGUUGUAAGAGAAGAACGAGUGUGAGAGUGGAAAGUUCACACUGUGACGGUAUCUUACCAGAAAGGGACGGCUAACUACGUG